AUGAACGCUGGCGGCGUGCCUAAUACAUGCCAGUCGCGCGAACAGAUAAGGAGCUUGCUCCUUUGACGUUAGCGGCGGACGGGUGAGUAACACGUGGGUAACCUACCUAUAAGACUGGGAUAACUUCGGGAAACCGGAGCUAAUACCGGAUAACAUUUGGAACCGCAUGGUUCUAAAGUGAAAGAUGGUUUUGCUAUCACUUAUAGAUGGACCCGCGCCGUAUUAGCUAGUUGGUAAGGUAACGGCUUACCAAGGCGACGAUACGUAGCCGACCUGAGAGGGUGAUCGGCCACACUGGAACUGAGACACGGUCCAGACUCCUACGGGAGGCAGCAGUAGGGAAUCUUCCGCAAUGGGCGAAAGCCUGACGGAGCAACGCCGCGUGAGUGAUGAAGGGUUUCGGCUCGUAAAACUCUGUUAUUAGGGAAGAACAAAUGUGUAAGUAACUGUGCACGUCUUGACGGUACCUAAUCAGAAAGCCACGGCUAACUACGUG
This 496-nucleotide ribosomal RNA is filed under the name uncultured bacterium. RNAcentral describes it as "partial 16S ribosomal RNA". It matches the Rfam family "Bacterial small subunit ribosomal RNA", at positions 29 to 507 of the family's 1533-position model. The record is from RNAcentral.